GGAAAGGUGGCAGAGUUGGUCUAUUGCAUCGGUUUUGAAAACCGACGUAGUCUUAGAAGCUACCGGGGGUUCGAAUCCCUCCCUUUCCG
Non-coding RNA from Prototheca wickerhamii, 89 nucleotides. NCBI's taxonomy places the organism in Eukaryota, Viridiplantae, Chlorophyta, Trebouxiophyceae, Chlorellales, Chlorellaceae. The record is from the annotation of a GenBank genome assembly.